RNAcentral lists this long non-coding RNA (622 nucleotides) under Brassica rapa (field mustard). RNAcentral describes it as "long non-coding RNA (BRAP_LNC003513)". The record is from RNAcentral. Lineage: Eukaryota; Viridiplantae; Streptophyta; Magnoliopsida; Brassicales; Brassicaceae.
UUGAACCUUAGACCUCCUGAUGUAAAAAUAUUUAUGAACAUUUACUUAAACCAUUAGUCUAAAGGGUUCCACGCUUUUUUGAACAUUUAGAAACAUUAGUUCAGAUGUAUGCUAAAUGUUCUGCUUGAAAGAGCCACACACACAUGGCAAGAAACAUUUGGCUUCUAUCUCUCUCACUCUCCCUGCUCAGCUCCAUAAAUAUAUAUAUAUAUAUAUAUAUAUAUAUAUAUUUUUUUUUUUUUACACACAAGCGUACUAUGGAAGAACCAAUGAUUAAGACCAUGAUGCUCUAUUAUGAUACUUUGUUCUGUUUUAUUACUAACUUAUACUGAUGAUAACCCGAACUAUUGUGCGGAGUGAAUCUUUAUACUAAUAUUUAUUCAUUAAAUGAUUUUAACAUUUUGCAAAACUACAAUUUUUAUCGAUUAUAAAAAUGAUGAAACAAAUGUUGCUCAUUUUAAUUAUUAUUAAGAUCUUAUAUGCACUAAAAAAUAAGUUUUGCGGCUGACACAAAUCACCAAAACCAGAAAGGCAACAUCAAUUGUGAAAUGAUGAAAGGAGAUUAGGUUUUCUGUUCUUGAUUUGUUUACUAUUGAUUCUCCAUAAAUGAUUUCAUUUUCUA